Molecule: transfer RNA, 69 nt
Filed under: Carpilius maculatus
Lineage: Eukaryota; Metazoa; Arthropoda; Malacostraca; Decapoda; Carpiliidae
Description: tRNA-Asn
Source: RNAcentral
UUGGUAGAAGCCAAAAUAGCGGCAUAUCACUGUUAAUGAUAAUAUUGAAUUUACUCAUUUCCUACCAAG